AGGUCCCUGCAGUACGCGUGAUGGUCGGAGGCUCGUUUGAGCCAUUGUUGAAUCGAAGCGGAUCGCGACGCGUCGCUGUGAGCACGCCUCCGUGCGAGGAAGCCUGAGAGGCGGCGUUUGAUGAGAGCGGUUCCACCUGCACCCGCAGGUUCAUACGACCUCCCCACACGGUAAUCGCGGGGUUUUU
RNAcentral lists this non-coding RNA (187 nucleotides) under Acidobacteriota bacterium. Its description in RNAcentral is "Acidobacteria bacterium 6S RNA". It matches the Rfam family "6S / SsrS RNA". From Rfam's summary of the family: E. coli 6S RNA was the first non coding RNA to be sequenced, but its function was unknown until recently. It consists of 184 nucleotides that fold into an extended hairpin structure with a large single-stranded internal bulge. Lineage: Bacteria; Pseudomonadati; Acidobacteriota. The record is from RNAcentral.